This 599-nucleotide ribosomal RNA is filed under the name Janibacter anophelis. RNAcentral describes it as "bacterial SSU rRNA". It matches the Rfam family "Bacterial small subunit ribosomal RNA", at positions 226 to 836 of the family's 1533-position model. The record is from RNAcentral. Lineage: Bacteria; Bacillati; Actinomycetota; Actinomycetes; Micrococcales; Intrasporangiaceae.
UGGGCUCGCGGCCUAUCAGCUUUGUUGGUGAGGUAAUGGCUCACCAAGGCGACGACGGGUAGCCGGCCUGAGAGGGCGACCGGCCACACUGGGACUGAGACACGGCCCAGACUCCUACGGGAGGCAGCAGUGGGGAAUAUUGCACAAUGGGCGAAAGCCUGAUGCAGCGACGCCGCGUGAGGGAUGACGGCCUUCGGGUUGUAAACCUCUUUCAGCAGGGAAGAAGCGAAAGUGACGGUACCUGCAGAAGAAGCACCGGCUAACUACGUGCCAGCAGCCGCGGUAAUACGUAGGGUGCGAGCGUUGUCCGGAAUUAUUGGGCGUAAAGAGCUUGUAGGCGGUUUGUCGCGUCUGCUGUGAAAAUCCGGGGCUCAACCCCGGACUUGCAGUGGGUACGGGCAGACUAGAGUGUGGUAGGGGAGACUGGAAUUCCUGGUGUAGCGGUGAAAUGCGCAGAUAUCAGGAGGAACACCGAUGGCGAAGGCAGGUCUCUGGGCCACUACUGACGCUGAGAAGCGAAAGCAUGGGGAGCGAACAGGAUUAGAUACCCUGGUAGUCCAUGCCGUAAACGUUGGGCGCUAGGUGUGGGACUCAUUCCA